Molecule: ribosomal RNA, 508 nt
Filed under: uncultured bacterium
Lineage: Bacteria
Description: bacterial SSU rRNA
Rfam family: Bacterial small subunit ribosomal RNA
Source: RNAcentral
GACGAACGCUGGCGGCGUGGAUUAGGCAUGCAAGUCGAACGGUAUCAUCCUUUCGGGGGUGAGAGAGUGGCGAACUGGUGAGUAACACGUAGGUUAUCUACCCUCAAGACGGGGACAACCCAGGGAAACUUGGGCUAAUACCGGAUGUGAGCAACUUUUAGUUGUUUGAAAGGUGGCGCAAGCUGUCGCUUGGGGAUGAGCCUGCGUCCUAUUAGUUAGUUGGUGAGGUAACGGCUCACCUAGGCAAUGAUAGGUAGGCGGCCUUAACGGGUGGUCGCCCACACUGGGAUUGAGAUACGGCCCAGACUCCUACGGGAGGCAGCAGUCGAGAAUAGUCUACAAUGGUCGGAAGACUGAUAGUGCGACGCCGCGUGAACGAUGAAUCCCUUCGGGGUGUAAAGUUCUUUUAUAUGUGAGCAGUGCUUCUUAUAUUAACAGUAUGGGGAGAGAGAUAUUAGCAUAUGAAUAAGCAACGGCUAACUCCGUGCCAGCAGCCGCGGUAAACUCG